ACACGCUUUGUCUCUGUACCAGUGCAGGCAAGAAGAACUGGGUCGCAGGAAACAUCAUACACGUUGUAGCAGGCAGGACACUUAAUGCCAUUGGGUACUGAGGAUUCCUGAGGCACUGAAUGAAGAAAGAAAAUUUUCAUCUCAAAGAAUCUGAAGAAGCACCUUGAGUGCUUUCUGAGUGCUGAAGCAGCCUUGCACCCCGGGGAUAAAGCCCACCGGGUCAUCAUCUGAUGAAUGAAGCCCAUCGAGUGUUCUCCGAGUGCUGAAGCAGCCUUGCACCCUGGCGAUUAACCCCACUGGGUCGUGGUGAGUAACUUCUUAAUAAUGUCCCGUUGCAUCCUGUUGGGUCGUAUCUUGUGGAGAAGGUGUGCAUCUGCGUUCAUCAGGGACAUCGGUCCAGGAUUCUUCUUUUUGGUGGGUUCUUGGGUUCUGGAG
Canis lupus familiaris (dog) is the source of this 435-nucleotide long non-coding RNA. RefSeq lists it as uncharacterized. The record is from RefSeq and is a predicted model, not a curated record. The transcript has 3 exons. Lineage: Eukaryota; Metazoa; Chordata; Mammalia; Carnivora; Canidae.